Molecule: ribosomal RNA, 273 nt
Filed under: uncultured Oscillospiraceae bacterium
Lineage: Bacteria; Bacillati; Bacillota; Clostridia; Eubacteriales; Oscillospiraceae
Description: partial 16S ribosomal RNA
Rfam family: Bacterial small subunit ribosomal RNA
Source: RNAcentral
GGAAUUUGACGGGGGCCCGCACAAGCAGUGGAUUAUGUGGUUUAAUUCGAAGCAACGCGAAGAACCUUACCAGGUCUUGACAUCCAACUAACGAAGCAGAGAUGCGUUAGGUGCCCUUCGGGGAAAGUUGAGACAGGUGGUGCAUGGUUGUCGUCAGCUCGUGUCGUGAGAUGUUGGGUUAAGUCCCGCAACGAGCGCAACCCUUGUGAUUAGUUGCUACGCAAGAGCACUCUAAUUCAGACUGCCGUUGACAAACGAGGAAGGUAGGGGACG